This 253-nucleotide ribosomal RNA is filed under the name uncultured bacterium. RNAcentral's name for it is "partial 16S ribosomal RNA". It matches the Rfam family "Bacterial small subunit ribosomal RNA", at positions 524 to 776 of the family's 1533-position model. The record is from RNAcentral.
GACAGAGGGGGCAAGCGUUGCUCGGAAUCACUGGGCGUAAAGAGCGUGUAGGCGGCUUGUUAAGUCUUGCGUGAAAUCUCGGGGCUCAACCCCGAGCGGUCGUGAGAAACUGGCAGGCUAGAGUGCGGGAGAGGAGAGUGGAAUUCCUGGUGUAGCGGUGAAAUGCGCAGAUAUCAGGAAGAACACCCGUGGCGAAGGCGGCUCUCUGGAACGCAACUGACGCUGAGACGCGAAAGCGUGGGGAGCAAACAGG